RNAcentral lists this ribosomal RNA (465 nucleotides) under Vreelandella stevensii. RNAcentral's name for it is "partial 16S ribosomal RNA". It matches the Rfam family "Bacterial small subunit ribosomal RNA", at positions 338 to 795 of the family's 1533-position model. The record is from RNAcentral. Lineage: Bacteria; Pseudomonadati; Pseudomonadota; Gammaproteobacteria; Oceanospirillales; Halomonadaceae.
CCUACGGGUGGCAGCAGUGGGGAAUAUUGGACAAUGGGCGAAAGCCUGAUCCAGCCAUGCCACGUGUGUGAAGAAGGCCUUCGGGUUGUAAAGCACUUUCAGUGGGGAAGAAAGCCUUGGGGCUAAUACCCUCGAGGAAGGACAUCACCCACAGAAGAAGCACCGGCUAACUCCGUGCCAGCAGCCGCGGUAAUACGGAGGGUGCGAGCGUUAAUCGGAAUUACUGGGCGUAAAGCGCGCGUAGGCGGUCUGAUAAGCCGGUUGUGAAAGCCCCGGGCUCAACCUGGGAACGGCAUCCGGAACUGUCAGGCUAGAGUGCAGGAGAGGAAGGUAGAAUUCCCGGUGUAGCGGUGAAAUGCGUAGAGAUCGGGAGGAAUACCAGUGGCGAAGGCGGCCUUCUGGACUGACACUGACGCUGAGGUGCGAAAGCGUGGGUAGCAAACAGGAUUAGAUACCCGAGUAGUC